GACGAACGCUGGCGGCGUGCUUAACACAUGCAAGUCGAACGAUGAAGCUGGAGCUUGCUCCGGCGGAUUAGUGGCGAACAGGUGAGUAACACGUGAGCAAUCUGCCCUUCACUCUGGGAUAACUGCGGGAAACUGUAGCUAAUACCGGAUACGAAGCCUUGUGGCAUCCCGGGGCUUGGCAAGAAUUUCGGUGAAGGAUGAGCUCGCGGCCUAUCAGCUAGUUGGUGAGGUAAUGGCUCACCAAGGCGACGACGGGUAGCCGGCCUGAGAGGGUGACCGGCCACACUGGGACUGAGACACGGCCCAGACUCCUACGGGAGGCAGCAGUGGGGAAUAUUGCACAAUGGGCGAAAGCCUGAUGCAGCAACGCCGCGUGAGGGAUGAAGGCCUUCGGGUUGUAAACCUCUUUUAGUAGGGAAGAAGCGAAAGUGACGGUACCUACAGAAAAAGCACCGGCUAACUACGUGCCAGCCGCCGCAGUAA
RNAcentral lists this ribosomal RNA (483 nucleotides) under uncultured bacterium. RNAcentral's name for it is "partial 16S ribosomal RNA". It matches the Rfam family "Bacterial small subunit ribosomal RNA", at positions 28 to 523 of the family's 1533-position model. The record is from RNAcentral.